This 228-nucleotide non-coding RNA is filed under the name Macleaya cordata. RNAcentral describes it as "Bacterial small subunit ribosomal RNA". It matches the Rfam family "Bacterial small subunit ribosomal RNA", at positions 193 to 391 of the family's 1533-position model. Lineage: Eukaryota; Viridiplantae; Streptophyta; Magnoliopsida; Ranunculales; Papaveraceae. The record is from Rfam by way of RNAcentral.
CUUUGUGUUUGCAAUCCUUAAGGUGCAUUCUCUGCGCAUUUUCCUUCAAAACAAUUUUAACUUUCUCAAAAAAAAAAAUUUGACUCUUUUUUUUUUCGGGAACCUCCAAGGAGUGAGGAAAAAUUUUAUUAAGAGGAUGAUCAGCCACACUGGGACUGAGACACGGCCCAGACUCCUACGGGAGGCAGUAGUGGGGAAUUUUCCGCAAUGGGCGAAAGCCUGACGGAG